This 458-nucleotide ribosomal RNA is filed under the name Actinoplanes sp. ATCC 53533. RNAcentral's name for it is "Bacterial large subunit ribosomal RNA". It matches the Rfam family "Bacterial large subunit ribosomal RNA", at positions 2471 to 2925 of the family's 2925-position model. Lineage: Bacteria; Bacillati; Actinomycetota; Actinomycetes; Micromonosporales; Micromonosporaceae. The record is from Rfam by way of RNAcentral.
GGGAUAACAGGCUGAUCUUCCCCAAGAGUCCAUAUCGACGGGAUGGUUUGGCACCUCGAUGUCGGCUCGUCGCAUCCUGGGGCUGUAGCAGGUCCCAAGGGUUGGGCUGUUCGCCCAUUAAAGCGGUACGCGAGCUGGGUUUAGAACGUCGUGAGACAGUUCGGUCCCUAUCCGCCGUGCGCGUUGGAUACUUGAGAAGGGCUGUCCCUAGUACGAGAGGACCGGGACGGACGAACCUCUGGUGUGCCAGUUGUCCCGCCAGGGGCACGGCUGGUUGGCUACGUUCGGAAGGGAUAACCGCUGAAAGCAUCUAAGCGGGAAGCUCGCUUCGAGAUGAGGUAUCCCACCACCUUUGAGUGGGUAAGGCCCCCAGCUAGACUACUGGGUUGAUAGGCCGGAGAUGUAAGCCUAGUAAUAGGUUCAGUCGACCGGUACUAAUAGGCCGAGGGCUUAACUAC